AAAUCCAUGAAAUCUAGAAAGUCCUUUGAAAACACAGCAAGAUUCUUGCUGAAGGAGGAGGAUAGACACUGCUUUCUGUUGCAGGAUCAUUUUCGGAAGAGCAGACAGUGAGGAAAUCUGAACCCAGGUAUCUCUUACCACACACACAGCAGCAGUCUGCAAAUCCUGUGGGGCUCUGACCAGUUCAGAACAAAAUCGUGUGUCAAUGGCAGUCAAGUCUGGUGACUCGGAUUUGGCCCUGCGUUUCCCACUCCUGCUGCAUCUUACCCAGUCGAGGAACGAAAGGUCUUGACACCUUCCUGAAGCAUGGGAAGAAAGGAGGUUCUGAAAGCACAGAUCCAAGACCACCAGAGGCCGGGGACAGCGAUUCCUGGAGGGGCCGCUCACACAACACCAGGAGCUGAGGAGAACUGGAGCAGGAGGAACAUGGGCCCAACAAGGGUGGAAAUACCAGCAAUUCCAAAAGUCAUCUACAUCAGUGCCCAGGACGCCCAUGCAGAACCCACUGAAUGGAAGAAAACGUGGUGGCUGCUUCCUCAAUUUGCAACUGCAGAAGCUGGAAUAAGGGCCUGAGAAGGCAGAGAAGCCACAUGAGUCCAGUCCCAAAGCUGUCAGAGUAACCCUGAGGGAACUGUCUACUGAAUUAUGACCAGUUGUGCCAACAGACAUUGAGAAGAGACCUCCUUUCCAUUGGCUCCUAUCACACCUGGCUGCCACUGCUCCUGGGAUCUGGACCAUCUUGUAUCCACCUUUGAGCGUCACUUCCUGUUUCAGCUGUGGGAGUUCUGGUCCACUUUCCCUGUGAAGAAACCUUCACUUUUUCCUCCUUUGGAGUUCUGGAUUAGACUCUUGUACCUGGAACUGGGUCAAGUUAGGCUAAACGCACCUCUAGGCAUUCCUGUUUCUCAGAAGUUGUCAAGUUCACAUCAUACCUGUUUCAUUGGUGACCAGGGGUCCACUUCUAGCAGAUGCUACCUGGCCUGGUCAGUAUUUUUCAUGGUCAUCUCUUUAGUGCCUUUAUCUCAUCCCCUGCCCAACUCAGGUGAGACUUGCCCAGUGGUGACUUCUCUCCUGGUACUUUAGAUAGGGAGAGAAAAUGUGGCUUGGUGGAUCUGCCAUCUUCUUCAGUUUGGAGGCAAUUGGAGCAUGGCUCCAUCUAGGGAGGAAAAUGACUCCGAAAGAGACUGUCCUUAUCUCAGCUUCUGCCCUGUUCUACUCUCACAAUCCUUAUUCUUGCCCUUUGUGCCUGUCCUAAUGCAGGAGAAUUGUGGUUUUCUUUUUUCUAUUAAAUAUAACUGUAGCUAUUUUCAUUAUUGCAAAACAGCACAAGCUUAUUACGAAAACAUGAGAAAUAUAGACAAUAGAAGACAAAAAAUAUUCCCAAAUUUUAUCCCAAAGACAAGACAACUAUUGAUUCAUAUAGUUAUACAAUAUCAUACACAUAUACUACAUAUAUUUAUAUAUUUAAUGUGACUAUAAUAUCACAAUACCAUUUAUAUUCUUUGAUAACACAUCUUGUCAUUUAAUGUCUUAUGAAUAUAUUUCUAUAGCAACAAGCUCAGCUAUACUGAAAUUUUAAGAGUACUCAAUUGUAUAUAUGCCCUCAUUUAUCUCAUCUCACAUAGUUUAAUGUUUAGGCUGUUACCUCCUUUUCUAUAUUGUCAUUAAUGAUCAUGGAUUUAGUUUAAUCUUCCUAUAAUUAUUUCCGUAAGGUAAAUCCUUAGAAAGGGAUCGAAGGAUGAGUAGUAAAGGUUGCAAAGCUCUCCGAAUCUGGAGCCAGCAAUAACUGCUCAGACUCCCUUAAAAAUAAGAGCUCUAGGAAGGCCACACAUGCCCUUUCCCAGAUUCCUUCCCAUAGCUACACUUGGGCAGCCCUGACUUCUUUCACCUUGCCCUGAACGGAGAAUAGCCCUGAGAGAUGGCUGAGGAACAGGUAGUGAAUGAGCGAGUGGUGGUGUCAGUUUGGGUUUGGUUUUUGGAUAAACUUCACAGUUCCUCAUUGGAUGCUGAGAAAUGAUUAUUCAUUCAUGACCCAUUUAUGGAAGAGCCAUUGCUUCCAGAUGCCAGGCUAGAGGCUGAGAAGACAGAGAUGGAUUAAACAGGAAUUCUUCUCUCAGGAAUAGCACAGCCUAGGGAAGGAAGGCCCGUGAUAGACAGCACACAUUUACUCCAUGAUAAAGAGGAAACGUAUAAGAUCAGUAAUAUAUCUCAGGGAAGAAAACUGGAACCAUCUAAAAUCCCACAGGGAAAAUAUGAGGUUCCUGCAGUCUACUAGCCCAUUCAUCUCAGCUAACACCUUUGUGUGGAUCCUUUGGUGGUGAGACUUGCUCGCUUGUGGUCAUCCUUGCUAAACACAACCUGCCCAAAGGCAUUGACCGUGUCCUUCCUUUGCACCUCUAGCAAACUGGUACCAUCUUAUACCAUGGCUUCUGAAAUCUGUUCAGUGUAAAAUCCAAAUUAGAGUAAACAAAAUUAAAGGUAAAGAGAUUCAUGAGUUGAAACAAAGACUCAAUGUUUUAUGUAUGUAAGAAAAUUUGCAUUAAUUCAUAUCCUUCUGCCUGAUAGAAACUUUCUCAGAUAUUUCAUUAUAGAAGAAACAAUCACAUUCCAGAAAAUGUGGGAAGUAGAGAAAAGGAGAAUUAUCAGCCCAUCUCACCAUCCUAACCCAGGGCAAAUAGCAUUCUAGUGACCUUUGCCCUGAAAAAUUUGUAUUAAGAUGGUGUUGAGGACAAGAGCUAAGGAACAUGUGAGUUUUUCAUCUCCAAUUUUAUUGUGAAUAAAUAUAUCUGAUAGUGAAUUAUAUUCAUGUAGUUCAAAAUUCAAAAACACAAAAACAGAGACUGAAAAGUCCAUGAACCCCAGCCUCUAUUACUUGGAGACAUCCAGGAGUCUCAGUGUCUUGUGUAUCCUUCUAGAGUUUUUGUGCAUAUUAAACCAUGCGUGUUUAUAAAAUAUGAGUUUUGACUAGAGGGCUUUGGCAAAACUGUUACCAAAUGUCCUAAAUUUAGCUAAACUAUCUUCAGUAAUUUUAAUGGCAGGCCUGAGGUACAGAUGGAGAAGAGAAAAGGAUGGAGAGAGCGAGAGAGAGAGAGAGAGAGAGAGAGAGUGCUCCUGAGGGAGAGCGUGAAAGAAAGAGCAAUCUUUCAUUUAUCCAACUAGUAUUUAUUGAGCAGAUAUUACAUCUCAGAUAUUAUUCUAUGCCCAGGUGAUACAAGAGUGAAAAAAAUUCCCUGACUUCAUGGGGAUUAAGAAUGGAAGGUGGCAAACAAUAACCAUAAUCAAAAAGUAAAUUAUAAAGUCCAUCAGAAUGUGAUAAGCGUUAUGGAAAAACACAAGUGGGGUCCAGGAGAUGAGGCACAUCAGGAGACAGUUUUAACAUGAGUGGUCAGGGAGGGCUUCACUGAGGAGGCCUUAAAGGAGGCGAGAAGAUGGGCCCUGCAGAUACUCAGGGAAAGGGCACUGCAGAGGGAAGAAGCAAUGCACAGGCCUCGCAGCAGAAGUCAAGGCCUGGAGGUUUCCAGCAGCCAACCUCCUCCAGCUCCGGGCUGUUCCUGGUAACCUGUGCCCGCAGCUGGCUUCCCUUGGAGUUCAGGUCAGGCCGGUGUGUUUGGGCCAUAGUGCUAAGCUUACUGUAUACUAGACGUCAGUUUGUCUUCUCUCUAAAUUUUGAUUCUGAUGCUUAAUUUGACUCCUUCCAAGGUGAUUCUGUGGUUAGUCUGAAUAAGGAAAGGAGAGGGGCAGUGUUAUUGUAGUAGGUAGACAAGGUUGACAUUUGGGGGUCCUGGCUUUUAAACCAAUUCUGUUUUCAAGUCUUUUGUCAGACACAUUAUUCAACCUUUCCGGUCCUCAGGUUUGUCUCUUAGGAAACAAAAAGAAUGUGCUUAGUUGGCUUUAGGGCUGUCCCUACCAUUGGUUUUCAAGCUCUGUGACCAUGUGAGCAGUCCAGGUAGGAAGUGGCAUCAGAUGACAUCUAGCAACACCAGGGGACACAGAGGAGCUUCUGCCUGCAGAGGACUGUGUGCAUGAUAUGUGCCGCCACCUCGUUUCCCUUCUAGACUAGAAGAGCCCAGACCAGAAGAGCCCAGACCAUCCUUCAAAUAGAAUAUUUCACCUGAAUAAGCCCAGAAUUCCCUAAGUGAACAGAGGAGACAUGGGGACACGGUUAAUUGCUUUGUUCUUGUGCCGUUGGCAGUAUGGUUCCCUUUAAGCCCAGAAGGGCUCCUUUCCCCUGCCCCUUGGCGGAGCUCAUUCUCCAUAGGCAGUAGGGGUGGCAUGCUGGGGCCAGGGCUCCUUGUUUUGUUCCUUUGGGCCACAGAGGUCCCCUCCCUGUUUAGUGUCUUCCAGUUGGACACAGGGAGUCUUCGUCUACCUGGGGAAUAAGACACUGAGGAGGAGGGAAGCGUGUCAUGGACACCACUCUCCUUCCAGCAAAGUCACUGUGAAUUUAAAACUCAGACUGUGUGUAAGAGGUUGUGGGGGCAGAAAGGGGCCUUUGGAAAUUUCAUUUGGAGGCAGAGGUGCUAAACAUGAAUAGAAGCCUUUGCUUUGACUCUCAGAGGGUGAGUCACCUUGGUUAUAGUUACUCUUGGUUAUUCCUUGCUUUUUCUUUUGUUAUCUCCGCCCGCACCCCCGCCAUACCCACCCAUCUUUAGCAUUCUUAGCUGCUUUUCUACAGGUCAGCUGAAAAGUGACUUGCAGAAUAGGGCUUCUCUUCCCCUAUUGGAGUUCAUGGGCAUUAUGUUUCCUAGCACUGGGAGGAAAUAUACACGACCAUGCACUUUCCACUCAUAAAGGACCCUGAGGUAUUUAAUUGUGAAAAUCAACUUCUGAUUUAUGUUACUUUCCCAGUGCCUUUUCUUUACACACAUAUGAAAAUUGCUCUAUUACUUCUUACAUUUCAUGCAGUGCCCUUUGUCUCCAUCAACUGUUGUGGAGAGAAAUUUUAUUUGGAAUAUUCAUAACAAGUCUAUCGCUAAUUAUCACUUUAACAAUGUGUUAUGGAGUGUAUCCAUGCAGUCAUCUGGAAAAGCACAUAUGCCAUGAAAUUUGGGGACUUGCUGUGUGCUGUAGGUGCCCAGUCUCAGUGUUUCAUCAGAUCUUUGCUUGGGGAGGAGGUAGAGGUGCUUUGUGAGGGAGUAUGGAGGCCUGCAUCCUGCAUUCCUGUCCUCAUAGCAACAGUUUCCAGGGUGACUUGUUUUUGAGUGUAAAAAAAACCUUAAUGUGAAACAAAAACCCUUCCCUACUCUGCAGCCCUAUUACGGUCAGCCCAGGUCAGUGCCAGGUAGACUGAUCUUAGCCACAGAGCUAAUCGCAGAUGAAGACCCUGCUGUUCUUGGUGCCAUCCUGGCACUCUGGCAAGAAGAGUGGAGCUAAAAUUGCCACCUGGUUGGCAGGCCUCAGAAGCAAAUGGAGAGUGACCUCAGCAUGUCAGAAUGAGAAAGGAAAGAAUGCCUCGGUGUUUCUUUCUUCCUGCUCUCUUUUCUCUGGGAAAGGAGAAUGGACUCACACUGGGUUUCUUCUCCAGGAUUCUCAGUGAGUCUGGGAUUUGGGAGGCUAGAAUCAUAUUUUUACCAGGACACAUGGAGCGCUUCCCUCUGAAGCUUCCUGAUGGACAUGGAUGAAGCCCCAGAGGCUGCCUCCAAAUGAGGGCAGAGUAAUGGAGCCUAAUGGAGCACAGCUCCUAGUCUGAGCACAGUCCUACCGCAGGGAUAAAUCAAGCAGCCUUUAGGUGGGGCCAGGAAGGGGACAGAGGGAAAUGAAUGACUGUGUUGAGCUCAGCAUGACUUUGUGGAUCCUCUGAAGCUUUUAACUAAGUGGAGGAUUCAGACUCAGGAAUUUACUGAGGAAUAUGACUUGGAAGGAUGGAAAGUUGCAUCUGUUAUAACAAGCUUUUAAGGAUGAGUUUUCAGAGCACUUGGAGCCUGGUUUUGUUGGAUGUUACUUUAGAAAUAAUAACUACUUAUUAUUUGUUAAGUGCUUACUCAGUACUAGGCACAUUGUUCAUCAUAAUCAAUAAUACCUAACAUUGAUGGAGUAUUUGUGAUGUACCAAACUCUCAAGCACUUUAGAUUCUGACUUAACUAGGUCCUAGAAGGAAGCCCCCAUUGGAGUCAUCACUAAUAUGUAGAGAAAUUGAGGCUCAGGGUAUUAGAUAACUUACCAGAAACACUAAGGAAACCAGUAGCUUUAGGUCAGUCACUUACCUGUUUCAGGACACAGAGCACAGAGGCUUUCCCCCUUUACCCUUUAUGAAACAGCAGGAGAGGACGGGGGCUGUAUCUCAGUGGUAGAGCUCUUGCCUAGCGUGUGCAAGGCUCUGGGUUUGAUCCCUUGUACCACAAAAACAAAACAACCAUAACAACAGCAAAACCAGCAGGAGAAAGUGCUGAGAAACAGCAAGAAAGUGGGGCACUGAAAGGGGACAGGAGUCUGUGUAGCCCUGGGUCAGUGCUGGUACAAAGCUGGCCUUAUGACCUGGGUGCUUUGCAUCUGUUAUAAUGCACUGUGAAAACCCAGUGUUAGCUGUUGUCCUAAAGAACUGAUUCAAUAAACCCUACAUUUCUGGACAUUUGGUUUCCUUGUUUCUAUUUGGGUGGCACUAGGAUUUGGGAGGAGCUAGUUGGGAAUGUAUUUAAGGAGGAAAACUUUGGAUGUGGUUUUAGAAACAAGGCACCACAACCAGACUGUGAUGCAGGCUUCAUCUGUGGACAGGUGUAUGUGGACAGGUGCAUUGUGCAGGCACCAGCGCGGGCAGAGGAAGUGGUAGGUUUGAAGGUAGCAAAAUAGGGCGGCUUUGUUGUUGUCUGGCAUGGGCCCUGCCAGGCCACAUCCAUUAACUAUGCCAACACCACUGCUAAUAGGUGGGUGAUUCAGCUCCUUCCUGCAUUUUAUUGCCCAACAGAGACUUUAAUAGCCUUUUGAUUUAGCAAGUUAACAAAGUAAGCUCUCAAGCUCCACUGUUUAACACCAGCUGGAUGACCCUGGGCCUGCUGCUGCCUGGAGCCCUCUGGUACAGUCUUUGCAUUGAAAGAAGAGAAAGCUGUGGAAUUUUCAGGCUCUCCUCGAGAGCUCCUUUUGGGGCAGCCCUGCCAGCCCAGCAUGCUUAGACCCCUCCGAUGUCAUAUGUCGCCCCCGCCCCCAUCAGUCCAGCCGCAGAAGAGAUCUGUCUAGAAGUUAAUAUCCCAGGAACCUAAAGGUUGGGUGUCUUUGAGGAAGAGUGUCAGAUGAGAAUGUGAGGGUUCCCGGAUGGGGCUCUUUAUUGAUUUCCUGGAACUAUUGUGUAACAAAUUAUCACAAACUGGAUAAUUUAAACAAUAAACACAUUCUACCACAGUUCUAAAAGCCAGAAGUUUGAACUCAAGGUGUUGGUAGGGCCAUGCUCCCUCAGAAGGCCCUAGAGAAGGACCUUUGCAUGUCUCUUACUGGCUUCUGGUGGUUGCCAGUGAUCCUUACUGUCCCUUAGCUCGUAGACACAUCACUCUGUCUCUGCCUCUGUGGCCACACAGCCUUCUCCCUGUGUACGUCUUAUAAGGACACAAGCUGUAUUGGAUUUGGGGUCCACACAACUCCAGGAUGCUCUCAUCUUAACUAGUUACAGCUGGAAAGGCCCUGUUUGAAAGCAACAUAAGAGUCUGAGGUUCUGGGUGGACCUGAAUGUCCAGGCCCUUUAAAAGCAAGUGAAAAGAGGUAGGCCAUGUGGUAGCUGAUUCACACAGCUAGAGAGAGGUGGUUUCAGACAACACUUUCUGGUACAACUUUGUGCAGUGAUGGGAAGGCCCUGUAGCUGCACUGCUGAAAAUGUGGCUAAUGCGACAGAGGAACUGAAUUUAGCAUUGUGAUUGAUUUAAAUUAAGUUAAACAGUCAAGUCAUGUGACCAGGGGCUACUGUUGCAGAGAGCAAAGCCCUCAACCAGUGAAGGUGAACCUUUUAGAAACUGAGUGCCCAAACUGCAACAUAGAACCUACUUAUUUAUCGCAAAGUGCCAACACUGCCAUUAAACCCGAAUACUGAGGCUUUAGUUUAGAAAAGACAACUCAUAUAAUAAUAUCUUUUGUCUUGAAAGAAAAACAAAUAACACACGUGUCAUAGGUUCACCACCGCUGCCCUAAACCCUCCUGAGUGUGGAAUAGGAGAAGGAGACGUGAAGGCUGUCAAAGUCUGGGCAGGGCCAUUUGCAUCCAGGAUGGCCAUCAGCUGUUUAGGAUGCUGAUCAAGGUCUGCAGGGGUCUCUUUCCGUCUCCGGCUAGAGGAAGGACAUCACAUGGGAUCUCAGCACACAGGACAAUGGUCUCGGGAGUUCUUAAACCAGCAGCACCUCUUCCAAAGGAAGUCAUUUGUACUUUUGACAUGUAGGACCAUUAGUUGGAAGAGAGGCUGAUUUGGAUGGAGGUCAGAGACCUUCAUAGGGUUCCACCUUGCCUUCUCUUGAACCCUGAACCACAAAGUGAGGAAAUUAUGGUUGAGCCUACCAACCAUGUGAGAGAACAAGAAAUGGAGGUUCAGAGAAGUAGAGAAACUUAACAAGGUCACAGAGCAAGUGGUUUGAUGAAUAUCGUUAUCUUUGGAUUUCUGAGGAUCCAUUCCUGGGUCCUUCUAAAGUCCUUGAUGCCCUUUUUGAAAGAAGAUACUCAGUCUACUAGUCAGCUACUAUGAAAAAACUACUCUAAGGUCAGAUGCAACUUCUGGCUUAAUCACAACAGAAUUAAUGUUUGUUCGGUUGCUGGUUUUGUUUUGUGAACUGGCUGAGAUCUGUAGGUGAGUAUUAUGCAUGGGUACCCUUUCCAGGUGCCACUCAUCAAAUGCACACUAUAUGCCAUUACAGGCUGAGUAGAGUCCUUCAUUUCAUUGUAUCAUUGAAUCUCCAUAGGUUGGUGAUGUUGGUAUUACUGAUCCCAUUUGGGGAAAACUGAGGCUCAUGGGAGUGGGAGGCAGGGUUCCCAACCCAUGCCUUUUGCUCAGGGAGUUGCUGUCUCCUUAGAAGGAUGGUAAAGAAAUAUAAAAUAUCUGUCAUGAAUUAGGAAGAAUGUCCUAAAAUCUCAAGGUGCCAUUUAAAGGCAAAGACCAGUGUGGCUCGUGAGGGAAGGAGAGGCCAGACCAGGAGGUGACCACAAGCAGGUACAAGGCAGCCAGGCAUCCCAACGCAAUGCUGUGGUAAGAAAGCAAGGAGUAGAACAGCGUUGUGGAAAGUGAAAACCGCCUAGGAUGUGUGGGAGGCUGGAGGCAGAUGGGUGUGGAUGAGAAGGGCAAUAGGAGGGAUCCUUGUGUGAUGGAAAUGCUCUGUCUUUUCCCUGUAUCCAUGACUUGCCAUGAUAUUGUGGUAUAAGGUAGUUUUGCAAGACGUCGGCAUUGGGGGAAACUGGGUGAAGGGUACGUGAGAAUUCUAUGUGAAUCUAUACAAGUUUAAUUUUUAAAAUAUAUACAGAGUCUACUCCCAAAAAUGUAUAUACACUCCAAGAAAAGAAAUAUAGGAUGAUGUUUUUCCAACCCUCGUAUGGGGAAUCCUAGAGGAUGUCGUAUAUCGCAGAAAACCCACUCCACUGCUAGCCCUUAGAGAAGAAAUUAAAAGUACACGUGCAGCAAUUUCAAUGACCAAGGUUACACAAGCAGUAGUUGGCUGUACUAACAAAGUUCUGGAAGCCAGUGACCACACUUUGGCCACCUCUUGUAACUGUAGAGGCUGAAGGUAACUUACAUUAAACUCAUGAUGUCUCAAUAAAUUUAGUAUUAAAAUAUUUAUACAAGCUUUUCUUUUCUUGAAGUGCAUAUACUUUUUUGGUGAACUCUGUAUAUAUAUGGGAGAGAGAGUGGAGUUCACAGACCCCCAGCCCUUCACCCCUUGCAUGCACUCCAGGAGAAGCUUGCAUGGUGUCUUUUUGCAGCAAGGUAUCUUCAGGUGUCUGUCCUGGAUGCCUUUGGGCAGGACCAAGAGGAAUACAUGCCUGAGAGCUAGGCAGAUGGCACUCGGAGAGACAGAUGGCCAGAAUCCCCAGAGGUGGGAGCACUCACUGAGCACCUACUAGGUGCCAGGUGCUGUUCCAGGGCUAGAGACUGAGGUUAGGAAAGCUGGUGCAGCUUCCCACAGGUUUGCAUUGUACAGUUGAAGACAGAUGUAAACCAGGAACAGGGCAAUGCCAGGUGGUGACAGGUGCUGUGAAGAAGAUGAAAGAGCAGAGUGUGACAGAGUAGCUGGGGGCUGCUUUUGCUGGAGCAGUCAGGGAAGGCUUCUUUGAGGAAAACCUAAGUGAGAAGGAGGCAGCCAUGGGGACAUGUGAGGGAGAGUAUUCUAUGCAGGAGGAAGAGCAGGUGCAGGAUCUCUGAGACAGGAAUAAGCUUGUGCACGAGGGGCAAGAUGAAGACCAUAGGAAGGGAAGCACUGGCAUUGGGAGCUGGAGGGCGAUGAAGCUAAAAAGACAGGCAAAGGCCAGAUCCUAUAGGCAGGUGCUUGCAGAUGUUGGUAAGGAGUUGGUAUUGGGAGUCUCUGGCAGGUCUGAAGUAGGUACAUGGCCAGCUAUGUGUGGAUGGGUUUUAGAAGGGCAGGAGUGGAAAAUAGUAGACCACAUUGUACUACUGCAAUGGUCCAUGCAAGAGGGCAGUGUCAUGAGUAGGGCUUUGGCAUUGGCAUGGGAAACCUGUUGGAUUGGGGUUGCUCUGAGAGGAGAGCUAUCAGAGAUUUGCUGGUGGUUUACACAUGGAUGCGAUGGCAAGAAAAAGAUCCAGGAUGAUUCCCAGGUCUGCUGUUUCAUUCUAUCCCAGCUAACUCCAAAGGACUGGUCAGAGAAUGUCCUUCAGAGAAUAGCACUAAAAAUAGAUGAGAAUUGGGCUGAGCCUCAAAAAGUGUGGGUUGAAGGGGUGACCCCCUCACCAGUUUCACCACUCUGGUCCUUAGGCUCUUUCUUGCUGCAGGGAGCAGACCUGCUCUGCUUUUCUUGUACAUGGAGCUGAUUGUAAGAUGGUGGUGAGGUGAGGGGGUUUGGCAGCCAUCCUGGCAGUGGUCCUGUGACACCCAGGAGAACGGGGGCACAGUCUUCCCCCACCUAAGCAGCUAUCAGCAGACAUCAUAUACUGUCCAUGUCUCCACUGUUCUGAGCCAGCUGUGGUUUGGAGCCCCCUGCAGACAUGCUGCCUCCUCCUUCACUCUCUGGGCUGCACACUCCAGAUGCCCUGCAGGGAGAGUCUCCUAGGAUUGGCUGGUCCAUCCAGGCCAUGUCUGCAGGGCAGAGGGCUCGGGCCAGGCCAUUGCCAAGGCAGCUGGAGUCCUUGAUGCAUCCCCCAAAAGCCAUUGCCUUUGACUUGUUCUGGGCCUAGUUGUGGCCCAAGCAUCAUGGAACAGAAAAUGUGCAUAGCAGCACAAGUGCCCGGGGCUGGGUGUGACCUCCAGAGGUGUGGCAGGCAUUGGCAUAGACGUCCUGGACACAAAAGCUGUGCAAUUCAGGAAGGCCAGUGUCCAGUGGAUGAGAAGGACCUAACAUGUCAGUAAGGUGGACAGCUUCUGUCGGCAAAAGUGGGAGGCACGCAGAAAAUAACCUUGGAUUUGUGUAAUAGUAUCUCUUGUGAUGUGGGAUUAAUUUUAUCUUUGGUGCUGCAUCUUUGGUGGCCCAGGGAACGCUGCAUUUCUCCACUCUCUUCCGUCCAUCAAAGUGGCUCCUCAAAGAGCACUUCUCACAUUCCUCACCCCAAGGAUAGAACAGAAUCACCUCAAGCACAGAACCAUGGCCCUAGGGGACAUGGCCUUCACCUGCUUCCUUUUUAUCUGCCUCGCCUAAUUCAUCUUUCCUUUCUUUUUCUCCCUUAAUCCCUCGAAGUUAGCCAGGGAGGGGCAGAAAGGAAUCUUGGUUUUUGUCUGACUCUAUAGGAGUACAGUUGCUAGAACUGAACUGUGUUUCCCCUAAAUUCCUAGGUUGAGCCCGAAUCCUACUGUAAGUGUAUGUGGACAGAGGCCUUGAGGGGGGAAAGGGUCCUGCAGAGCACUGGUAUUCUUAGGAGAAGAGACGCUAGAGGUUGCUUCCUCCCCUGCACACACAGAGGAAAGUUCAUCGGGGUCAGACAGAAGGCAGAUGUCUACAAGCCAGGAAGAAAGUCCUCACUAGACAGCUAAUCCUCAGAACCUUGAUCUGAGACUCCGCAGCCUCCAGAACUUUGUGAAAUUACAC
Molecule: long non-coding RNA, 12150 nt
Filed under: Heterocephalus glaber (naked mole-rat)
Lineage: Eukaryota; Metazoa; Chordata; Mammalia; Rodentia; Bathyergidae
Description: lncRNA (ENSHGLG00000039308.1)
Source: RNAcentral